CAAAACGACUCUCGGCAACGGAUAUCUCGGCUCUCGCAUCGAUGAAGAACGUAGCGAAAUGCGAUACUUGGUGUGAAUUGCAGAAUCCCGUGAACCAUCGAGUCUUUGAACGCAAGUUGCGCCCCAGGCCUUUAGGCCGAGGGCACGUCUGCCUGGGUGUCACG
Molecule: ribosomal RNA, 164 nt
Filed under: Harpullia cupanioides
Lineage: Eukaryota; Viridiplantae; Streptophyta; Magnoliopsida; Sapindales; Sapindaceae
Description: 5.8S ribosomal RNA
Rfam family: 5.8S ribosomal RNA
About the family: 5.8S ribosomal RNA (5.8S rRNA) is a component of the large subunit of the eukaryotic ribosome. It is transcribed by RNA polymerase I as part of the 45S precursor that also contains 18S and 28S rRNA. Functionally, it is thought that 5.8S rRNA may be involved in ribosome translocation.
Source: RNAcentral